RNAcentral lists this ribosomal RNA (471 nucleotides) under uncultured bacterium. RNAcentral's name for it is "bacterial SSU rRNA". It matches the Rfam family "Bacterial small subunit ribosomal RNA", at positions 28 to 507 of the family's 1533-position model. The record is from RNAcentral.
GAUGAACGCUGGCGGCGUGCUUAACACAUGCAAGUCGAACGGAUUUAACAGAAAGCUUGCUUUCGGUUAAAUUAGUGGCGGACGGGUGAGUAACGCGUGGAUAACCUGCCGUAUACAGGGGGAUAACACUUAGAAAUAGGUGCUAAUACCGCAUAAGCGCACAGUUUCGCAUGAGACAGUGUGAAAAACUCCGAUGGUAUACGAUGGAUCCGCGUCUGAUUAGGUAGUUGGUGGGGUAACGGCCCACCAAGCCGACGAUCAGUAGCCGGCCUGAGAGGUUGGACGGCCACAUUGGGACUGAGACACGGCCCAGACUCCUACGGGAGGCAGCAGUGGGGAAUAUUGCACAAUGGGCGAAAGCCUGAUGCAGCGAUGCCGCGUGAGGGAAGAAGGCCUUCGGGUUGUAAACUUCUUUUACCAGGGACGAAGGACGUGACGGUACCUGGAGAAAAAGCAACGGCUAACUACGUG